CUGGAGUAUUAUAUAUUACAUUGGUAAUAUGGAUUAAUUAAUAAUAAGCAGAAUGUUACUGCUCUAACUGAAAAAAUCCUGAAGACAUGGACCGCUAUGCCUAUUGUGAGAGUUGUCUAACAACAGCACGAGAGAUUGAGAAAGCCAUGAAGGAAGCCCCAGAUGAGAGCAGACAGACAGUAGUUGAGAACCUCAUCACUGGGGGUGUAUGUGAGAAACUGCUGUCCUACAAACAUGACCACGACUCUAAGGACAAAACAGCCUCCUGUAUGCACUUGUUAGAGUCUCAUUAUGACCAGCUCCAUGUAGCUUUGGUGAAUAAAGAACCAAAGCAUCUGGAUAUAGUCCUGUGUUAUGAGCAGUCCAGGGCAUGUAUAGGGGUGAAACGCCAGUCUUCUGAGAGUUCCAAAACCCCCUUUACAGAAAGUGACAUUGAAGCUCUACUUCGAGACAACAAGGAGCAUGUGCGCAUUGCUCAACCUGUACAUUCGGGUUCACCUGUGCACUCAAAAGAUGAGUUGUGAAAACAGCAAUGUGAAUGUGUGAUGGCUUGUUGUACUGUGUUUUUGAG
Molecule: long non-coding RNA, 571 nt
Filed under: Sander lucioperca (pikeperch)
Lineage: Eukaryota; Metazoa; Chordata; Actinopteri; Perciformes; Percidae
Description: lncRNA (ENSSLUG00000006978.1)
Source: RNAcentral